This 393-nucleotide ribosomal RNA is filed under the name Babesia bigemina. Its description in RNAcentral is "SSU rRNA". It matches the Rfam family "Eukaryotic small subunit ribosomal RNA", at positions 440 to 901 of the family's 1831-position model. The record is from RNAcentral. Lineage: Eukaryota; Apicomplexa; Aconoidasida; Piroplasmida; Babesiidae.
AUUACCCAAUACGGACACCGUGAGGUAGUGACAAGAAAUAACAAUACAGGGCUUUCGUCUUGUAAUUGGAAUGAUGGUGAUGUACAACCUCACCAGAGUACCAAUUGGAGGGCAAGUCUGGUGCCAGCAGCCGCGGUAAUUCCAGCUCCAAUAGCGUAUAUUAAACUUGUUGCAGUUAAAAAGCUCGUAGUUGUAUUUCAGCCUCGCGUUUUUUCCCUCUUUUCGGGUCUUUUCGCUGGCUUUGUUUUUACUUUGAGAAAAUUAGAGUGUUUCAAGCAGACUUUUGUCUUGAAUACUUCAGCAUGGAAUAAUAGAGUAGGACCUUGGUUCUAUUUUGUUGGUUUCGAGCCUUGGUAAUGGUUAAUAGGAACGGUUGGGGGCAUUCGUAUUUAA